UCUAAUUUGAUUUCUCAUUUUACUUGUCUCUUUUCAUUAAUCAAGAUAAGAUAAUUUUUUUCUCCAUUAUAUCCUUUGUAAUUUAUUACUCCUUGUUACUAGUAUUAAAUUAUCAAAACUGAAAUUUUUUGCAGAAACUUUGAUAAUCCUAUAAUUCUAAUUAUCCAUGCAAAAUAUGCUUUGGCAUCAGUUAUAUAAUAACUCCAUCAAUAUUGGAACUAACAACAUGACAUAAUUAAUAGUGGCAAAAUGAUAAAGUUACAUUACCAAUCAUUGUUUUCUUAAUAGCUGUGACAUCUCAAUUUGGGAUGAGUAAUUUAGAACGGAGAAAAUAUUUUUUUAAGGAAAGUUCAAAUCAAUAAAGAUCAAUUAUUUUGAAGCAGAGGAAGUAUAAUUUCUAAAAAUCGUGCAAAAUUAAAAAUGAUCAAAUAAUACUGAACAUAGGGAAGCUCCUUAACGCUACUACUUUGCAUUGAUAUAAAUAAGCCAUUUAAUUAUCACAUUCUAUUUCUAUCUUCAAAACAAAGUGUGUAGUCAUUUAUCAUCAAUAUGGCCAAAAUAUCACUUUUAUUGAUUGCUCUUUUUGCCCUAACUACAGCGAUGGAACAAAACUUAUUUCCAUCAAAGUGGCUUGGGUUAACUUGCUUUAGAAAAUGCCAGUGGGCUAACGAUUGCACUAGAGACUGUUGCGAAUGUUGGUCCUCUCCAUUCGAUAGCCAAAACUACUUUUGUGACAAACGUGGCGCUAAUGGUGAAAGUUAUGUUGCAAGUCUCCUCUUGAAAGCUAAACUCAUCAAACAACAAGACAUUAUUCCUUCUCAUCAACUUGUUUAAAUUGUGUGUCUUUGUGUGUGUGUGUUUGAUGAAUUAAUGUCAUAGUUUUUGUGUUUGUGUGUCUGUUGGGGAGGUAAUAAGUGAACAAUAGUUCCAAUGGAAGACUUGGAUUGUUGAUUACAACUAUGAGAGGCUAGCAGUUUGGCUUGUGACUGCCUAUUUAGUUGGACGUUUAGAAUCAUAAAAUUAUGGACUUGUCACUUAUUCAAAUUUAUCAAACCUUUAAUUGGCAUUGGCAUGUCUUUAAAGUUGACAAAAACAGUAUCCUGUCAAAUAUGAUAGGCUUGAUUAUUUCGAUACAUACUCUUUAGUGAAAAAAGAUAAUGUAUAUUCGGGUGUUAGUUGCAUUAGUUGUUGUAUAUUGUCUUGAAAUCAAUUAAAUAGAUGUUAUAACAGUUAUUUUUUUAAAUGGAGAAUUGGAGAAAGAAAUUUACAUGGAAUAACCCGAGGAUUUUGUGGUUCUUAGUAAAGAAAAAAAGUGUGCAAACUUGUUAAGUUACGAUAUGGACUAACAUAAGAACUAAGAACCCAGACAGACAGUGGCAAGAACUGAUAGGAACACACAUUUCACAUAUAGAUAAGCAGUCACAAGCUAGCCAAACUGCCAGCUUUUACAAAUUACACUCUCCAUUAAUCAAAGUUUUCCAUAGACCAAAAACCUGAUCAUCACUUAUUCCAUCAAACAUAAAACAUUCACGUAAGCAUAGACAAACAUUAUUUAAUGUUCUUAAGACGUUGAUUUUCAAGGACAGUUCCGAAAUAACCUUCACUAGUAAAAAGACCUUUGUCACAUAUAUCCAUAUAUGAAAGAGCAAAGGGAUUGUAGCCAUUACUUGUAUCUUGGGAGACCAAGAGAAAUCAACUGCAUUUUAUACACAUAAUUAUAUAAGUAGUUAAAUCAAAGAAUAGUUAGACCAUCGUCUACAUCAAUAUGUUAUUAAUAGGACUAUUGAUGUGACUUUCAAACUAAAUUAAUCGCAUAUUGCAUGACAUUUUGCAAGAAGAAUUCAGAAAAAAGAUUAAUAUGGCUUUCAAAGGAAAUAAUAUUGAGGUUGAUUGUCAUUUUCCGUAAGAAAAAUGGUCACAUUAUUCAACACGGAGUUUUAAAUAUAGAUUUACUUGAAUAAAAUACUAGAAAUUGAAACGGAAGUAUAAUCGUUGGAAACUUGAGAACUUUUAUCAUUGUAGUAUUUGUCAUUUGAAUGGAGUACAGUUCAAAUGAAAGUCAAUUUCUAUAAUUGUACGUAAUAGCAGUAGAAUGAGAUCUCAAGCAAGAAGCAUAUGGAGGAUUCGACUAGUAUCGUUACAGAGAAUUACUGCGUGUUUAUUUUACAUUAUAAAUGAUUUAUUUAUUAAAAUCUAGAUGAUUUUAUGUAGUUGAAUUCUUUUUAAAAUUCAUUAAGAUGAAACCAUUCAGCACGUAGAUUUUUCUUAAAAAGAAUCAUUGCAGUAGCAUAAUAAUGACUGAAGAUUCGGAGAGCAUUAUAGCAAAUUUGAUUUUUAAUGUUUAGCCAACAAUUAGAUUGAAUGCGACAAGACACGAAAUGCAUGAACUGAUAUUAGCAAUAAUAAACAUAAUGAAAUGACGUUUCCAUGGUAACUGCUCCCACUAGGAUUUGCUAUUUCUGGGCCCUCUCUUUAUCUUUUUUCCAAAUUUCAUAUGGCACAAAGCAGACAAUAACAUACCUUAUUAUUAUCAAUAGAUUGGUAAAUAAGGCGAGCCUCUUCGAGACUUUCAGGCCUAGGGUUUCAUCAAUAGAUUGAAGAAACUGUGAUUGAUUGGAAGCUUCUCGAACAGCAGAAGUUGCGACAAAGCGAGAAUGGGAGGAAGGAACGCGACGGCUUCUGCAAGUUUCGAAGUGCUGUGGUGGCGCGUAGUAGGGAGGCGGUGGAGAUAGUAGUAUCAAGGCCGAGGAGGACUCUUUCCUUGAACCGAUCGACAGCGAGGAAACGACCGGUGGGGGUUGUAGGGGUCACUUGGCUCCCCUAAAAUCGAGUGUUGAGUAUCAAUAUUAAUAGUUGUUACAAAAAUAUGAGCAACGAUCCUUAGCUUGUCUGCUUCAAGUAGGUCUCGAGCAUAUGAAGGUGGAAUCGUCAAAAUUUGCACAUGAUAAAAAACUGUUACCCCUCCCUGAGAUCUGGCUAGUGCAUCAGCUACUUUGUUCUGCUGUUUGUAAGUGUGGUUCAGUGUUGGGUUGUUCAGUCCCUGCAUUAAGUACCUGCAUUCCAAAAUAACAUUGCAGUAGCCAAGAUGGUUAAUACAUAACAUUUAAAUUGAAGUUAUAGAAUCAGAGUUGGUUUCCAAAGGGAUUAAGUUAUUGGAGUGGGCUAUCUUGAGUUCUUCCAGGAUUGCUAGGAAUUUAUCUUGCUAAACAUCCACAUGUUGGAGGUCUCUUGUGAAGCCCAGAAUCCAAUUACCUUUAUAGUCUCUGAACACACCCCCAACUCUACCUCGUCCAGGCUGGAUCCUAACACUCGCAUCCGUGUUGAGUUUGUAGGAACCCUGGUUAGGAGGUUCCCAUUUAAGGUAGAUGAUGGUGUUAGGUUUUACAGGUCUACUAUGGUUCACAAUAGUAAGGGCAUAUUCGUUGGCCUGGGCUAUAGUUUGUUCAAUAAAGAUAUUAUCAUCUCUUUUGUUGAACAGGUUAUGAUUUCUGUUGAGCCAAAUAUUCCACAUACAAAAAGGUAGGAUGGUAUUCGAAAAGUACCAGUUAUUGAAAGGUUUUGUCGCCAUAGCUUUCCAAGUGUCAGCCCAGUUGUGGCUGUUGAGGGAUGAGGAGUCAAAGUAGGCGAUAGAGAUACUAUUAGCAGCAAUUCCCUCCCAGAAGGCUUGGGCUUUAUGGCACUGAAAAAAGAUUUGAGAGAUAUCCUCUACAAGAUUGGUGCAGUGAUGCCAAUUUGAAGACACAUCCAUACCCAAGUGGUUGAAGUAACUCUCAGUUGGAAGUCUGUUAUAGUUCAGGAGCCAGAGGAAGGUUUUGAACCUGCUAGGGGGUUUGAGAUUCCAGAUCCAAUGGUGAUCUUUUUUGGGCUCAGUUGGUAUGCUCACGUAGUUGUUCAGGAUAGAGUUGCAGGCACUUUUCAUGGUGAAAUUACCAUUUGGGGAGCAGUCCCAGGUGAGUUUAUCCUCAUACACACUCUCAGUUGGGAAAAAAGUGUUGGUGAUUAUGUUGUGCAAAUCAUGAGGAAGAUUAAAGGAAAUGGCAUCAAGGUUUCAGGCGCCCUGCCUGUAAAUGAGGUUGAUUGUGAGCUUAUCCUCACCCUUGUUCAAAGGUCCAGCAAUACAGCUUCUGAUGGUUUGGUAGUUGGGAAUCCAUUUGUCUAAGAAUAAUUUGAUUCUAUUCCAUCAAUGGACAAUCCAUCUUUGGUUAGGCA
Capsicum annuum is the source of this 4209-nucleotide long non-coding RNA. RefSeq lists it as uncharacterized. The transcript is spliced from 2 exons. The record is from RefSeq and is a predicted model, not a curated record. NCBI's taxonomy places the organism in Eukaryota, Viridiplantae, Streptophyta, Magnoliopsida, Solanales, Solanaceae.